RNAcentral lists this long non-coding RNA (1407 nucleotides) under Patiria miniata (bat star). Its description in RNAcentral is "uncharacterized LOC119721435". Lineage: Eukaryota; Metazoa; Echinodermata; Asteroidea; Valvatida; Asterinidae. The record is from RNAcentral.
UCACCGUAUGGUGCGGGAACCAGUUAGGGCCUCGAAACUGGCAGCGCAUCUGUCAAAUGUUUACGUUUUUCGGCUGCAUCGAAACAACGUGACCACCUCCACGGAUCUAGACUUCUUGUACGUCGCACACGUACACGCUUUGACAUGCGACUUUCAUACUUCACAAAAUGUGUAGUCAAUGAGCUAUUUGUUUUUCAACGCAAGUUUCACUAAAACAGCUUUUGAGAGGUUCUCACACUGAAGCAAGUACAUUGGAGAAAGAAUUUGUUGCCCAAAGACUAUGGACGACGCAUUUGAGUUGGUGAACGAGCACUUGGAGAAGGCUAUUUACGCCAGCGUCGCACUAAAUUCCAAUGGAAUUGCCUCUGAAUCCUUGGAGGCUUGAACCAAACAAGUCUUGGAGCGAUCAACGCUGAGCCCGGCGUACACGUAAGUGGCAAAUUACCUUUUCCCGGGUGAAUCCGUCUUGAUCGCCGAACCAAAGUGGCCAAAAGUGUCGUGAGCGCGAGCUGCGUGUUGCUUCAGUAAACACAUGCAGUGAGCUUUAAUCUAUUGGAUGUGUGUGUGGAGAUCCUUCAAAAUCGUGUGCUGCAAAAAAAAGGAACCAAAAAAAGCCUUUAAAGUGUCGUGAACUAGUGCCUUCGCACUGUUUUCAACCUUUGAACAGUGAACGUGAACUUGCUUCUAUUGGGUUCACCGUACAAGUGUUGUGACUUCAAAAGCCUCAGUGAUUUUACCGUUGUACUGCAUAAUUCGCCCGUUAAAACUCUCUGUAUCGGAACAUAAUUUAAGUCCUCGUGGUCAUUCUUGCAGUGUGCUUGGAAGUGGCAAUCAGUUUUUUUUUUCAAAACGUUUGUCGUCAACCUUUGAUAAAUUUGAUGAUUCAAUCUCUGAAUCACAGCAUUUUAGUUCUGAUGAACAUUCCUGCAGUGUGCUACAAUUUUAUAGUUUUUUUUUAUAUAAAAUGUGCAUCAUAAACUUGAUAUACAUGUCAUUUGUGGGAAAACUCCCAAUAGUGUGCUGCAAUUAAUGUUUGAUAUAUAUCUCAUCGAGAGGAACAUCACUCAUUUUAUUUUUUAUAAAUAAAAUGACCGACGUUGAAAGUUCGUAUGCUGCAUCAACACGUCCUCACAAAAAUUGACUUUGUUUCUGGACGAGUAGAGCUCGUGUGAGCGAUACAAACUGAUCCAUAAACUUGACCAAGUCACCAGUGAGAGCCGUCAGGAUUUCAAGAGAACAAUCAACAGAAUCCAGCAGACAGAUGACGUCAUGGUCUGUUGAUCUGUGAGCAAGCUGUGAUGUGUUUGCUUCAACUACGUGCCUGAAACUCACAAUGGCCACCACCAAGAUGCCUUCUUGUACUGAACCAGAGCGACCGGUAAGUACAAUUCUUUGAUUGGAUGUCUU